AGUGAACGCUGGCGGUAGGCCUAACACAUGCAAGUCGAACGGCAGCACAGUAAGAGCUUGCUCUUACGGGUGGCGAGUGGCGGACGGGUGAGGAAUACAUCGGAAUCUACUUUUUCGUGGGGGAUAACGUAGGGAAACUUACGCUAAUACCGCAUACGACCUACGGGUGAAAGCAGGGGAUCUUCGGACCUUGCGCGAUUGAAUGAGCCGAUGUCGGAUUAGCUAGUUGGCGGGGUAAAGGCCCACCAAGGCGACGAUCCGUAGCUGGUCUGAGAGGAUGAUCAGCCACACUGGAACUGAGACACGGUCCAGACUCCUACGGGAGGCAGCAGGGGGGAAUAUUGGACAAUGGGCGCAAGCCUGAUCCAGCCAUACCGCGUGGGUGAAGAAGGCCUUCGGGUUGUAAAGCCCUUUUGUUGGGAAAGAAAAGCAGCAGGUUAAUACCCCGCUGUUCUGACGGUACCCAAAGGAUAAGCACCGGCUAACUUCGUG
Molecule: ribosomal RNA, 492 nt
Filed under: uncultured bacterium
Lineage: Bacteria
Description: partial 16S ribosomal RNA
Rfam family: Bacterial small subunit ribosomal RNA
Source: RNAcentral